RNAcentral lists this ribosomal RNA (462 nucleotides) under uncultured bacterium. RNAcentral's name for it is "partial 16S ribosomal RNA". It matches the Rfam family "Bacterial small subunit ribosomal RNA", at positions 29 to 523 of the family's 1533-position model. The record is from RNAcentral.
AGCGAACGCUGGCGGCAGGCCUAAUACAUGCAAGUCGAACGGCUCUUCGGAGCAGUGGCGGACGGGUGAGUAACACGUGUGAACGUGCCCUUUGGUACGGAACAACUGAGGGAAACUUCAGCUAAUACCGUAUGUGCCCCCAUUCUUAGCGGGAUGGGUGGGAAAGAUUUAUCGCCAUUGGAGCGGCCCGCGUUGGAUUAGCUAGUUGGUGGGGUAAAGGCCCACCAAGGCUACGAUCCAUAGCUGGUCUGAGAGGAUGAUCAGCCACACUGGGACUGAGACACGGCCCAGACUCCUACGGGAGGCAGCAGUAGGGAAUCUUGCGCAAUGGGCGAAAGCCUGACGCAGCCAUGCCGCGUGAAUGAUGAAGGUCUUAGGAUUGUAAAAUUCUUUCACCGGGGAAGAUAAUGACGGUACCCGGAGAAGAGGCCCCGGCUAACUUCGUGCCAGCAGCCGCGGUAA